UACGUAGGUGGCAAGCGUUGUCCGGAUUUACUGGGCGUAAAGAGCGCGCAGGCGGUCGUUCAAGUCGCGUGUGAAAGCCCCCGGCUCAACUGGGGAGGGUCACGCGAUACUGAUCGACUGGAAGGCAGGAGAGGGUAGUGGAUUUCCCGGUGUAGUGGUGAAAUGCGUAGAUAUCGGGAGGAACACUAGUGGCGAAGGCGACUUCCUGGCCUGUUCUUGACGCUGAGGCGCGAAAGUGUGGGGAGCGAACAGG
This 253-nucleotide ribosomal RNA is filed under the name uncultured bacterium. Its description in RNAcentral is "partial 16S ribosomal RNA". It matches the Rfam family "Bacterial small subunit ribosomal RNA", at positions 524 to 776 of the family's 1533-position model. The record is from RNAcentral.